Molecule: microRNA precursor, 152 nt
Filed under: Daphnia magna
Lineage: Eukaryota; Metazoa; Arthropoda; Branchiopoda; Diplostraca; Daphniidae
Description: Dma-Mir-750_pre stem-loop
Source: RNAcentral
AGUUGGAAGUGGGGAUCUCGGCAUUUUUGUUCCUGGUUUCAAAAAAGGUGAGCCGGCGUUUCGGGAUUUGCUGUUGUAUUGAACGGCGAAGUUUCGAACGUCGAGCCAACCUUCAUAAUCGUUAUUUUGCCAGAUCUAUCUCUUCCAGCUCA